Molecule: non-coding RNA, 29 nt
Filed under: Homo sapiens (human)
Lineage: Eukaryota; Metazoa; Chordata; Mammalia; Primates; Hominidae
Source: RNAcentral
CCUGGUAUCUGAGCACUUCUUGCCUCUGA